GUUAAGCACAACUACGACAGUGCCCCCCUAAAGGGCGGUUAAAAUGAAGGAGACCUCGAUAGUAGUUUCAACCUGCACAUACCACCAUACCUCUAUUUUGUCAUUGUCCAGAACAUUCUCUGUUUUACACAGAACCCCUACCACCAGGUCAGCGUUCUUUUCUCCGUCUAAGUGGAGUGUUCACUGUAUGAGUCCCUGCGAAUGAGUGAUUUGCAGCUGUGCUACUUUAUAGAGAAGUCUUCAACACCUUCUGACCAAUCAGAAUCCAGAAUUCAGCAUCGCUGUACGUUACAGUAAGUGUAGAUGUGUAGUUUAGAUGCAGGAGGAGGAGGAGGAGGAGGAGAUGAGGUGGUGUGUUACAAGGCAGUGGAGGUCAUGGUGUAAGGUGUAAAGGUCAAGUUUACUCUCAGUAAUCUCAGCUCACACACUUUAAGAGCAACUGUAUCACUUUUAACACACUGAUGUCUUCAGCAGCUGUGCAAGAAAUAAGUAAGAAAUCACCAUGUGCCUAUAUUAUAUUUCACUGAAAUGUUUCAUGGUUUCUCAUAUGCUUACACACACAGAGAGAGAGGUUAGCUAUACCUGAUACGUAACCGGAUAGGUCACACUUUCCACCUAGCAUUGUUAUACAGUACGAUCUAAGUCUAUGCUAUACCUAACGAACGAGUGUUAAUACUUUCAACUUUAUUUACACAGCACAUUUAAAAACAACCUUGUUUCCCAAAGUGCUCCACAAUUGUUUUAGAAGAAGAGCGUAUAAAAAGUAAACAGCAAAAGAUAUAGAGCAAUGUACACACAAAUAGCCAAUAGCGUUAUCGUGCCUACAGACGCAGAGACGCGUACUCAACAUCCCCUUCCUUCAACAGCUAGGUUAAAAAGGUACGUUUUCAACCGAGACCUAAAAACCUCUAGAGAUGGAGCCUGCCGAAUACCGAGUGCAAGACUGUUCCACAAUUUUACAGAGCAACGACUGUAAAAGCUCGCUCAGUUUUUGACUUCUUCUCAGAACGAGGGCCUGCCAACGACAUUUGAUCCGUCGGUCUCUACGUCCUAGCCGAUGUAUAAAACCCUGAAAGGUUAGUAAUAUAAAUUGGAGACCACUUAAAAUAAAAUCUUAAAUUGGAUCCUAUACUGAACCGGCAGCCAGUAGAGAGGAUGACACUGGAGUAACGUGAUCCUUUUACUGCUGCCGGUCCGAAGCCUGGCUGCGGCGUCCUCCACAAACUGCAACCGAGAUAAUUGUCGCUGACCUGACCGAUCUCUGCACAGAGGAAUGAGAGAAAGCUAACAUAGUGAGAGGAAACUAAUGAAUUGAGAGAAAGCUAAUCUAGCGAGAGAAAGCUAAUCUAACAAGAGAAAGCUAAUUUAGCAAGAUGAUGCUAAUCUAGUGAGAGAAAGCUAACAAAGUGAGAAAAAAGUAAUGUAUUGAGAAAAAGCUAAUCUAGUGAGAGAAAGCUAAUCUGGCAAUUGAAAGCUAAUCUAGCGAGAGGAAACUAAUCUAGCGAGAGAAAGCUAAUCUAGCGAGAGAAAGCUAAUCUGGUGAUAAAAAGCUAACCCAGUGAGUGAACGCUAAUCUAGAGAGAGAAAUGAUGUUUAACAAUGGAGGCAAAGUCUCAUAAAGAUGACAGUCAGUCAAGCUCAUUAGAAUAUUAAGCCACACCCACCAGGACAGUUCAACUACUGCUUAAAAUAUGAUUCUGUGUUGUUGUUUUUUUUAUCUUCAUUCAAAUUUUGGUUGGAUGUUUAAUAUGACACUUAGCAUUUUAUAUUUUAUUGGACAGAAGGCUGUCAAUCAAGUACGCUUAUUAGAAUAUUAGACCACACCCACUCAGAUUGUUCAGCUGGUGUUUAGGCAGUGAUUUUUAUAUUGUUUCUUUCUCCUCUUAAAUGUAAUACUAGGUAUUUUUUAAUUUUUACACACAUUUACUAUGUUACAUUUUUCUUAAACUGACAAAUAAAUAACAAAAAAUUUAUACAUAAUAACAACAACAACAAUAAUAAAAUUAAUGAAUAAUU
Long non-coding RNA from Ictalurus punctatus (channel catfish), 2016 nucleotides. The record is from Ensembl. NCBI's taxonomy places the organism in Eukaryota, Metazoa, Chordata, Actinopteri, Siluriformes, Ictaluridae.